UCUAAUAUGGCAGAUUAGUGCAAUGAACUUAAACUUCAUAAAUAAAGUAUACACUUUUAUUAGAA
RNAcentral lists this transfer RNA (65 nucleotides) under Dalpada cinctipes. Its description in RNAcentral is "tRNA-Leu". Lineage: Eukaryota; Metazoa; Arthropoda; Insecta; Hemiptera; Pentatomidae. The record is from RNAcentral.